This 508-nucleotide ribosomal RNA is filed under the name uncultured bacterium. RNAcentral describes it as "partial 16S ribosomal RNA". It matches the Rfam family "Bacterial small subunit ribosomal RNA", at positions 28 to 507 of the family's 1533-position model. The record is from RNAcentral.
GACGAACGCUGGCGGCGUGCCUAAUACAUGCAAGUCGAACGCUUCUUUCCUCCCGAGUGCUUGCACUCAAUUGGAAAGGGGAGUGGCGGCCGGGUGAGUAACACGUGGGUAACCUACCCAUCAGAGGGGGAUAACACUUGGAAACAGGUGCUAAUACCGCAUAACAGUUUAUGCCGCAUGGCAUUAGAGUGGAAGGUGCUUUCGGGUGUCGCUGAUGGAUGGACCCGCGGUGCAUUAGCUAGUUGGUGAGGUAACGGCUCACCAAGGCCACGACGCAUAGCCGCACUGAGAGGGUGAUCGGACACACUGGGACUGAGACAGGUCCGAGACUCCGAGGGGGGGCAGCAGUAGGGAAUCUUCGGCAAUGGACGAAAGUCUGACCGAGCAACGCCGCGUGAGUGAAGAAGGUGUUCUGAUCGUAAAACUCUGUUGUUAGAGAAGAACAAGGACGUUAGUAACUGAACGUCCCCUGACGGUAUCUAACCAGAAAGCCACGGCUAACUACGUG